This 794-nucleotide long non-coding RNA is filed under the name Citrus sinensis (sweet orange). RNAcentral's name for it is "long non-coding RNA (CSIN_LNC003332)". Lineage: Eukaryota; Viridiplantae; Streptophyta; Magnoliopsida; Sapindales; Rutaceae. The record is from RNAcentral.
GCCAUCUUCACUGGGCCUAAGCCUUAGACCUAUCUUGAAAACAUCGGCAACGAGUUUAGCAUUUGUUGGCUGAUCGCUCCAUUGAGGGUAUGCAAUCACUGGCACGCCGGCGACGAUUGUUUCCAGCAACGAACUCCAACCACAAUGAGUCACAAAACAGGCAAGAGCAGGAUGAGCUAACACUUUAGUUUGAGGACACCAUGAUACCACAAGGCCUCGGUUUUUAGUUUCUUCAAGAAACCAUAACGGCAAAGUACCCUCACCAUCAGAAGAAGCAGAUUCUGAUUGCUUAACAAUCCACAAAAAUGGAAGCUUAAUGUUCUUCAAAGCUGUGGCUAUGACCUCCAUUUGAUUAGCUGAUAACUGGGUAAGGCUACCAAAUGAUAUGUAAACAACUGAAGAAUUUGAUUGUUUGUUAAGCCAUUCUAAGCAACAAUCUUCAGGCUUCCACCUUUCAACUCCAACAUCAAGCUUUUCAUCUUGGCCUAGCAAUGAAGGAGGGACUAAAGGACCGACAGGUCGUAUUGGACAAAGCUGAGACAUAGACUCAGUGGCUUCUUUCUCUAACUCAAAGAAAGAAUUUGCUAAUACCCACUUGUAUUGCUUAUUCAGGUUUUGGAACAAGUCAUUGAGAAUUCUUGAGAAGCUACCAAAUGGAUUUGAAGGGAGAACAAAUGAAGGCAAAUCAUGUGUGUGCAAAGUUUGUAACCCUGGUAACUCAACACUUGAAUUUGGAUUCUCCGAGGUGGGAAAUGGGUUUAAUUUGUUAUAGAAACGAUAGUAAAUAGAAAAAA